CCUACGUGAGGCAGCAGUAGGGAAUCUUCCACAAUGGACGAAAGUCUGAUGGAGCAACGCCGCGUGAGUGAAGAAGGGUUUCGGCUCGUAAAGCUCUGUUGGUAGUGAAGAAAGAUAGAGGUAGUAACUGGCCUUUAUUUGACGGUAAUUACUUAGAAAGUCACGGCUAACUACGUGCCAGCAGCCGCGGUAAUACGUAGGUGGCAAGCGUUGUCCGGAUUUAUUGGGCGUAAAGCGAGUGCAGGCGGUUCAAUACGUCUGAUGUGAAAGCCGUCGGCUCAACCGGAGAAUUGCAUCAGAAACUGUUGAACUGGAGUGCAGAAGAGGAGAGUGGAACUCCAUGUGUAGCGGUGGAAUGCGUAGAUAUAUGGAAGAACACCAGUGGCGAAGGCGGCUCUCUGGUCUGCAACUGACGCUGAGGCUCGAAAGCAUGGGUAGCGAACAGGAUUAGAUACCCGAGUAGUC
This 465-nucleotide ribosomal RNA is filed under the name uncultured bacterium. RNAcentral describes it as "partial 16S ribosomal RNA". It matches the Rfam family "Bacterial small subunit ribosomal RNA", at positions 338 to 795 of the family's 1533-position model. The record is from RNAcentral.